Molecule: non-coding RNA, 179 nt
Filed under: Crypthecodinium cohnii
Lineage: Eukaryota; Dinophyceae; Gonyaulacales; Crypthecodiniaceae
Source: RNAcentral
CCGACGACCCAAUGAGCCGAGUUCUCAAAGAGGCCGCCGAGGUUGCAGCUGCUGGCAUCGACAUCAAGAGAAGGGACAAAACCCCAAAGAAGAAAAAGGAUCGUUCGCGAUCGCGCCGCCGUCGCCGCCACCGCUCCUCCUCCAGCUAGGCAAACAAACAAACAAAAACAACAUUUCAU